GAUGAACGCUGGCGGCGUGCCUAAUACAUGCAAGUCGAGCGAACAGACGAGGAGCUUGCUCCUCUGACGUUAGCGGCGGACGGGUGAGUAACACGUGGAUAACCUACCUAUAAGACUGGGAUAACUUCGGGAAACCGGAGCUAAUACCGGAUAAUAUAUUGAACCGCAUGGUUCAAUAGUGAAAUACGGUUUUGCUGUCACUUAUAGAUGGAUCCGCGCCGCAUUAGCUAGUUGGUAAGGUAACGGCUUACAAAGGCAACGAUGCGUAGCCGACCUGAGAGGGUGAUGGGCCACACUGGAACUGAGAAACGGUCCAGACUCCUACGGGAGGAAGCAGUAGGGAAUCUUCCGCAAUGGGCGAAAGCCUGACGGAGAAACGCCGCGUGAGUGAUGAAGGUCUUCGGAUCGUAAAACUCUGUUAUUAGGGAAGAACAAAUGUGUAAGUAACUAUGCACGUCUUGACGGUACCUAAUCAGAAAGCCACGGCUAACUACGUG
This 497-nucleotide ribosomal RNA is filed under the name uncultured bacterium. Its description in RNAcentral is "partial 16S ribosomal RNA". It matches the Rfam family "Bacterial small subunit ribosomal RNA", at positions 28 to 507 of the family's 1533-position model. The record is from RNAcentral.